UGUGUAACUAAGUUGAGAAAGUACCUUGAACAUCACACGUGAGCUGGCUUUGCUGUUGUAACUUUGUUUGUUGCUGAAAUUUGACACGUGACACAUGGAAUAAUAAUGAUCCAGUUUAAAAUUCAGAUUAUCGGCAGGUCUUAAGAACCACUGGACUAUUUUUCCACAAAGAAGGCAUUAGAAGUUUUUAAAAAGUCUUGAAUUUCAUUGUCCAAGCCUUGGAAUGUUGUGUCUUUCUUGCAUAUAACAAUAAUUUUAAGUUUUGUUGGGGAUACUGUAGGUUCAAACCCCAUUGAUUUUUGCUGUUAUUUAUUUUUAAUGGGAGAAUCCAUGCCACUCAUCUGGGUCUACACAAGGAACAAUUACAAGAAAGUCUUCAGAGAAAUAUGCUGUCACCAGUGUGUUUGAAGUACCACCAGAGAGCAGCAGAUCACCAUCACUGUUUCUGCAGACUGUCCUUUUCCAGCUCAGAGGUACAACAUGUGGACGCGCACUCAUCAGCCUGCAGCAUGUCUACUCUGCUCUCCAAUCACUCUCUACCAGAUUGUUAUUGCGUCUGCGUCUGCAUCUGCGUGGAUCAACACUCAUCAGCCGCAACCUGUGUCAUCAUUCCCUUCAUUCCUGGUUACAAUAAAACUUUUUCAUUUUACAAUAAACAAUAAAACUUUUUACUUUUAUUGUAACUAAAACUAAUCACUUGGAUUUCACAGGUCAGAGCUAUUCUGUCCUGACAAAGAAUCAUGAUGAAAAUACAUUUUAAACUAGGAGAGAACGAUAAGAGCAGUGACAUUCUACAUUUUAGUCUGUCCUCUGUCUUCAGCAGACACCUGUCAUCCAGCAUACAGAGUGAAAAGGGCCUUUUGGCUAACUGUAAUGUCAAUAGAGGGAGUUCCAGUCUACACUUUGACAGAUGUCUGUUAGGACAAAUAACAGACAAAGCCCAAAAUGUCAGUGCACAGGUUCGAUUCGUGUCUCUCUGUGAGUUAUUUGGAUUGAUGCUCUGAAAUCCUGACAAUCACAAAACGCUGGAAUCACAGGUUCAGUCUAUGUAAUUCAGAAAGCACUUUUAUGAAAACACUUACGACACGAAAGGCAUUUAAAUUAAAUCUACGUUAAUCAAUAAGCUUUACAUUAAUUCCCCAGAGAGUGGUCACUUAUCAGUUCUGACGUUUUUUCCCCCUCUUUUAGCUCCUUGCUUUAUUUUUACAGACCAUAAUUUUUUAGUUUGAUUGUGCCUUUGAGUGUGAGGAACCAGAGGACCUUUCAUUUUGCCCCCUAGUGGCCACUGUUUUUUAGCUUUAAAGCAACAGUUCUACUUUCUGGGAGACAAUAUUGUAUGCUUUCUUGUGGAGGUUUGAAAAAGACUGAUAGCACCCAUCACUGUGUAAUUUAUGGUAAUUUAUGGCCUCUCAUCUCUAUCUUCUCUAUUUCGAAACUGCUUCCUGGCAAGCAUCGGUCACCCAUGACAUCCUUUUCUAAUGAGGCUUGCAGACAUGUUGGUGUGUAUCUUCAGGGAAGUAUAACUGCAGCCUCAGAUGUUGUGGAAUAACUGUCACGUGACAACACAACAAGUCUGUGAAACUUUUCCCUGUGUGUUUUAUAGAAAAUAAAAAGGGUCCCCGAGGUGGAAAAACUAAAUUCCUCAUUUCUGAUGGUGAUGAUGGUUAACAUUUAGUGGAAAUGUACACUGAACAAAAAUAAAAGUACAUCACUUAAUUUUUUGUUCUCAUUUCUCAUAAAUUGAAA
Molecule: long non-coding RNA, 1746 nt
Organism: Scatophagus argus
Lineage: Eukaryota; Metazoa; Chordata; Actinopteri; Scatophagidae
Exons: 3
Source: RefSeq, a predicted model, not a curated record